Molecule: unclassified non-coding RNA, 200 nt
Filed under: Hevea brasiliensis (rubber tree)
Lineage: Eukaryota; Viridiplantae; Streptophyta; Magnoliopsida; Malpighiales; Euphorbiaceae
Source: RNAcentral
CUGGCGUGCACUCUUCGGUUAGACCACAACAAUCACAUUUGGCGAACUCCACUUCUGCUUGCGCUGCAAUUAGUUUAGUUGCUGUUGCAGCUGCAGCUGGUUGGGUUUCUGGGGUUGAUAUCACCAUAGGAUCACUGAUUAUGGUAGCAGACAUUUGCAAAAACUUCCCAGCAGAAGCAGAUGAAAAUAAACUUGAUGAG